Molecule: ribosomal RNA, 301 nt
Filed under: uncultured bacterium
Lineage: Bacteria
Description: partial 16S ribosomal RNA
Rfam family: Bacterial small subunit ribosomal RNA
Source: RNAcentral
CAGCAGCCGCGGGAAUACGGAGGGUGCAAGCGUUAAUCGGAAUUACUGGGCGUAAAGCGCACGCAGGCGGUCUGACAAGUCAGAUGUAAAAUCCCCGGGCUUAACCUGGGAACUGCAUUUGAAACUGUCAGGCUGGAGUCUUGUAGAGGGGGGUAGAAUUCCAGGUGUAGCGGUGAAAUGCGUAGAGAUCUGGAGGAAUACCGGUGGCGAAGGCGGCCCCCUGGACAAAGACUGACGCUCAGGUGCGAAAGCGUGGGGAGCAAACAGGAUUAGAUACCCCUGUAGUCCCUGUCUCUUAUAC